This 468-nucleotide ribosomal RNA is filed under the name uncultured bacterium. Its description in RNAcentral is "partial 16S ribosomal RNA". It matches the Rfam family "Bacterial small subunit ribosomal RNA", at positions 28 to 507 of the family's 1533-position model. The record is from RNAcentral.
GACGAACGCUGGCGGCGUGCUUAACACAUGCAAGUCGAACGGAAAGGCCCUGCUUUUGUGGGGUGCUCGAGUGGCGAACGGGUGAGUAACACGUGAGUAACCUGCCCUUGACUUUGGGAUAACUUCAGGAAACUGGGGCUAAUACCGGAUAGGAGCUCCUGCCGCAUGGUGGGGGUUGGAAAGUUUCGGCGGUUGGGGAUGGACUCGCGGCUUAUCAGCUUAUUGGUGGGGUAGUGGCUUACCAAGGCUUUGACGGGUAGCCGGCCUGAGAGGGUGACCGGCCACAUUGGGACUGAGAUACGGCCCAGACUCCUACGGGAGGCAGCAGUGGGGAAUAUUGCACAAUGGGCGGAAGCCUGAUGCAGCAACGCCGCGUGCGGGAUGACGGCCUUCGGGUUGUAAACCGCUUUCGCCUGUGACGAAGCGUGAGUGACGGUAAUGGGUAAAGAAGCACCGGCUAACUACGUG